Molecule: non-coding RNA, 108 nt
Filed under: Anaerocolumna xylanovorans
Lineage: Bacteria; Bacillati; Bacillota; Clostridia; Lachnospirales; Lachnospiraceae
Also listed under: 1 other name
Description: TPP sequence
Rfam family: TPP riboswitch aptamer (THI element)
About the family: Vitamin B(1) in its active form thiamin pyrophosphate (TPP) is an essential coenzyme that is synthesised by coupling of pyrimidine and thiazole moieties in bacteria. The previously detected thiamin-regulatory element, thi box was extended, resulting in a new, highly conserved RNA secondary structure, the THI element, which is widely distributed in eubacteria and also occurs in some archaea.
Source: RNAcentral
AAACUUAAACAGGGGAGCUCAUAGUAAUGGGCUGAGAGGAAGCUGGUCUGCUUCGACCCAUAACCUGAUUUGGAUAAUGCCAACGUAGGGAUCAUAAAGCAGAGUAUA